Molecule: ribosomal RNA, 333 nt
Filed under: uncultured bacterium
Lineage: Bacteria
Description: bacterial SSU rRNA
Rfam family: Bacterial small subunit ribosomal RNA
Source: RNAcentral
GAUGAACGCUGGCGGCGUGCUUAACACAUGCAAGUCGAACGGAAGUAAAAGAAGGGAAGAGGCAGUUUACUGCCGUGGAACAUUUUUUACUUUAGUGGCGGACGGGUGAGUAACGCGUGGGUAACCUGCCUUAUACAGGGGGAUAACACUUAGAAAUAGGUGCUAAGACCGCAUAAGCGCCCAGGGCCGCAUGGCCCAGGGUGAAAAACUCCGGUGGUAUAAGAUGGGCCCGCGUCUGAUUAGCCAGUUGGCAGGGUAACGGCCUACCAAAGCGACGAUCAGUAGCCGGCCUGAGAGGGUGGACGGCCACAUUGGGACUGAGACACGGCCCAA